This 253-nucleotide ribosomal RNA is filed under the name uncultured bacterium. RNAcentral's name for it is "partial 16S ribosomal RNA". It matches the Rfam family "Bacterial small subunit ribosomal RNA", at positions 524 to 776 of the family's 1533-position model. The record is from RNAcentral.
GACGGAGGAUGCAAGCGUUAUCCGGAAUGAUUGGGCGUAAAGCGUCCGCAGGUGGCAGUUCAAGUCUGCUGUCAAAGACCGGGGCUUAACUUCGGAAAGGCAGUGGAAACUGAACAGCUAGAGUAUGGUAGGGGCAGAGGGAAUUCCUGGUGUAGCGGUGAAAUGCGUAGAGAUCCGGAAGAACACCGGUGGCGAAGGCGGUCUGCUGGGCAGUUGCUGACACUGAGGCGCGACAGCGUGGGGAGCAAACAGG